RNAcentral lists this long non-coding RNA (1185 nucleotides) under Nicotiana tabacum (common tobacco). RNAcentral's name for it is "long non-coding RNA (NTAB_LNC009994)". Lineage: Eukaryota; Viridiplantae; Streptophyta; Magnoliopsida; Solanales; Solanaceae. The record is from RNAcentral.
GGAUCAACUCUUAGACAAACAGGGGGCAGCUUGGAUGACUUUGUAGGAGAAGACGACUGCUUCUUGCCACCGUCUUCAGUGGUUUUCUUCUCUUUAGCAUCAACAUCAUGCUGUUUGGAAGCAUCUUCCGGUUUUCCAUCCAAGACAUCCUCAAUUUGCUCCAUUUGCCUUACUGGAAUGAUUUUCGUAACAGAAUCUUUAUUCAGUCCCUUUCCGUGGAUUUCACUUCCUCUAUUCACUACAUUUUCUCUAGAAUCGCUUCUAUCCUCUUCAACAUCAUGUAACUUUGGUAUGGUAGAUUUUAAGGGGGAGGUCUGCUCCUGAUCAACACCAGUCUCCUUGCUAACUUUGCCGUCUAUUUCCUCAGGUUUGUAAGGCAUCCAGAUUAUUGGAAAUGGAAACUGUUUCUUGUUCAUAUCAUCGUGGUGUUGUUUUCUGGGUGGAUCUCCCCUUUGCUUUGGUAAUUCCGAGUUGUUCCCUUGAUAAGGAGACCAUACAUUCCAGAUAUUUGGUUGUUCGAAAGAUCUGCAAUCACCAUACGGUUUCACAUCUUUCACCUCAUCCCGUUUACCUUCAAAUCCAUUAGGCUUCACGUGUGCGCUAUUCAUCAUAUAAUCAGGUGGCAUCCACAGAACAGGAUAAGGACAAUUCUUGAACCCAAAAGGAACCAAGGACUCAUUGCUUUCAUUUUUCUUAUCCUGGUCCUGUUCUUCUAUUUUAAUGUUGCUCCCUCCUUUCGUAUAACAUGGAUGAUUUGGACAGCCACAGAAGUGAUGACCACUUCCCAUAUUCUUAUCAUAUUCGUACCGAGGCUGCUCCAUAGUAAAAUGGGGAGAAACAUAAUUAGCAGCAUACAUCACCGGAUAUGCUGGAUUGCUACAGUUGUUGUAGGGAGGCAGUGGAAGGUAGGGAUAAGGAGGACCGAAUGCACACUGGCUCGGGGAAUUGUUAUGGAUACAGCAACUGUGACACUGCGGUGGAUAAGGAUGCCCAUAGUUACCACCACAAGGCCAGGAUUCAUAAGCUACAGGAGAUCUAGCUGGAUCAAUGUUCAGAUGAUGAUGAUUCGGUUCAAACUGGGGAUAAUAAGGAGGGUUGUGAGGUACUCGGUUUCUUUGGUAAGGAUGUGUGUCCAUGAACCCAUACAUGGGAUACAUCCUCUAUAUUUAGGAAAAUAUAAAUACU